RNAcentral lists this ribosomal RNA (253 nucleotides) under uncultured bacterium. RNAcentral describes it as "partial 16S ribosomal RNA". It matches the Rfam family "Bacterial small subunit ribosomal RNA", at positions 524 to 776 of the family's 1533-position model. The record is from RNAcentral.
GACGAACCGUACGAACGUUAUUCGGAAUCACUGGGCUUAAAGGGUGCGUAGGCUGCGCAGCAAGUUGGGUGUGAAAUUCCUCGGCUUAACCGAGGAACUGCGCCCAAAACUGCUGUGCUCGAGGGAGAUAGAGGUGAGCGGAACUUAGGGUGGAGCGGUGAAAUGCGUUGAUAUCCUAAGGAACACCGGUGGCGAAAGCGGCUCACUGGAUCUCUUCUGACGCUGAUGCACGAAAGCUAGGGGAGCAAACAGG